This 468-nucleotide ribosomal RNA is filed under the name uncultured bacterium. RNAcentral describes it as "partial 16S ribosomal RNA". It matches the Rfam family "Bacterial small subunit ribosomal RNA", at positions 28 to 507 of the family's 1533-position model. The record is from RNAcentral.
GACGAACGCUGGCGGCGUGCUUAACACAUGCAAGUCGAACGGAAAGGCCCUGCUUUUGUGGGGUGCUCGAGUGGCGAACGGGUGAGUAACACGUGAGUAACCUGCCCUUGACUUUGGGGUAACUUCAGGAAACUGGGGCUAAUACCGGAUAGGAGCUCCUGCUGCAUGGUGGGGGUUGGAAAGUUUCGGCGGUUGGGGAUGGACUCGCGGCUUAUCAGCUUGUUGGUGGGGUAGUGGCUUACCAAGGCUUUGACGGGUAGCCGGCCUGAGAGGGUGACCGGCCGCAUUGGGACUGAGAUACGGCCCGGACUCCAACGGGAGGCAGCAGUGGGGAAUAUUGCACAAUGGGCGGAAGCCGGAUGCAGCAACGCCGCGUGCGGGAUGACGGCCUUCGGGUGGUAAACCGCUUUCGCCUGGGACGAAGCGUGAGUGACGGUAAUGGGUAAAGAAGCACCGGCUAACUACGUG